This is a ribosomal RNA of Ursus americanus (American black bear), 137 nucleotides long. Lineage: Eukaryota; Metazoa; Chordata; Mammalia; Carnivora; Ursidae. The record is from Ensembl.
GUCUACGACCAUCCCACCCUGAACACGCCCAUUCUCAUCCAAUCUCAGAAGGUAAGCAGGGUCAGGCCUGCUUACCUGGAUGGGAGAAGUGAGUAGCCCAACAUUCCUUAAGUGUUGAAAGAAAGGAAUUGUCAAUC